CACGUAGGAUCCAAGCGUUAUCCGGAUUUACUGGGCGUAAAGCGCGUGUAGGUGGUUUGUUAAGUUGGGUGUUAAAUCUCUCGGCUCAACUGAGAGGUGUCGCUCAAAACUAGCAGACUGGAGGAUGGUAGAGGAUGGCGGAAUUCCGGGUGUAGUGGUGAAAUGCGUAGAUAUCCGGAGGAACACCAGUGGCGAAGGCGGCCAUCUGGCCCAUUCCUGACACUCAAACGCGAAAGCUAGGGGAGCAAAC
Molecule: ribosomal RNA, 250 nt
Filed under: uncultured bacterium
Lineage: Bacteria
Description: partial 16S ribosomal RNA
Rfam family: Bacterial small subunit ribosomal RNA
Source: RNAcentral